GGGCUAUAUCACCGCCUGGUACGGCAGCUGCUCCGCCCAUAACCGGAAGGCUCUCCAGAGAGUAGUGAGGUCUGCACAACACAUCACCGGGUGCAAACUACCUGCCCUCCAUGACACCUACACCACCCGAUGUCACAGGAAGGCCAAAAAGAUCAUCAAGGACAGCAACCACCCGAGCCACUGCCUAUUCACCCCGCUAACAUCCAGAAGGCGAGGAAGAAGAGAGAUCAUGAUACAGAAAGCAGUCUUGUAAAGAAAGCAGAAAGAGGGCCAAGGUAUCCAUCUCAAUGAACCAUGGCGUACCUGGAAGUACUGACACGCUUGUUGUCGGAGAGUCAAAGAAUGCAUUUGGCAUUAUGGCUGCAAGGAUUCUUAGUCGUCCAAUCAGUGUACCCCUGAAAUGGUCAUGUGUGGCUCUCCACAACUCUCUGUCCUCCACGGAUGAAGC
RNAcentral lists this long non-coding RNA (448 nucleotides) under Salmo salar (Atlantic salmon). RNAcentral's name for it is "lncRNA (ENSSSAG00000085370.1, ENSSSAG00020081390.1, ENSSSAG00075059335.1)". Lineage: Eukaryota; Metazoa; Chordata; Actinopteri; Salmoniformes; Salmonidae. The record is from RNAcentral.